AGCCUCAGCUCUCGUAGAGCCCGCCUCCCUCAUGAAUAUUGUAGAUCUUCCCAGGAGCCCUAGCGGGAAGUCGGCCCCCCACCGCCCCCUUAUCAAUAGCAAGAGAGCCAGCUCCCAUAGUGCCCUUCUUCUCAUGAAUAAUUAACAGAGCGAGGUUCCUGGAGCCCAAACUCAGGCCUCAGCCACCCUUCGCGCCAAGCUGAAGACAGGAAGGGGCUGGAGCCAUUACGGUGUGGGGGAGGGGAGGGUGUAGCCCAAGAUCUUGAACGCGGCGAGCCAUGUUCCUGCUCCACUGCCUUUCCCUUCACCUAGUUUUGAGACAAUUUUUGAGUCGCUCCCACCCCCACUAACCCCAGAAGGGCAAGUUACAAGGGGUUUCAUCAAACCUUUUGAUGGAAAAAAGCCUCCAGACAUUCCUUUUUAAAUCUGUCUUGCCGGUGCGGUGGCUCACGCCUGUAAUCCCAACACUUUGGGAGGCCGAGGCGGGAGGCUCCCUUGAGUCCAGGAGUUCGAGACCAGCCUGGGCAACAGAGGGAGACCCCCCCCACACACACCCCUCUCCUGGUCUCUAAAUAAGCACAUAAAUAAUAAAUCUGUCUGGAAUCAAGGGAAGAUGUCUGUCUCCAGCCUCUCAAGAUGGAGUCAAGACAAAUCUUUCUAGCUAGGCCCUCCUGGCUAGAAGAUUAAAUUCUCAUUAAUUUAUUUCUUCAUUCAUUCUGUAACUAUUUAUUGAAGCCUGCUCUGGGCCAGGCACAGGAGUAGGCCCUAAGAAUGGAACAGAGAACAAGACAGAUAAGUUUCCUGCUUUAAUGGAGUUUAUUAGCGUAAUGGGGAAGAUAGAAUGAACAGACAGAGCAUCUACAGAUGUUGAGAGCAGUGCCGGUGACCUGCCUACCUCAGCCCUGAAAAGUGCCGGGAUUACAGAGGUCCUUGACCAAAUAUCAUCUCCUUGGCAGUGGGCCAGAUGCACAUAAUGGAAGCAAGGAUCCUGAGUGGUGAGUAUUUACAUUUUACUCAAAGUGUCAUGGGGAAGUGUCAUGGGAAGUCCUUGAAGAGUUUUAAGCAGAGAGUGCUAUGAUCUGAUUUACAUUACCAAAAUAUUGCUCUGGUUUUUAUGUGGAGAAUAAAUGAGGCCAGGAGUGGAGGGUAAGAUCUGUUAGGAUGUUGCAGGACUAGAAUGGUGGCUCUGAGGGAUGGGUUUGAGAUAUAUUUUGGUGGUAGAAGUAACUGAAUUUACCUAAUAGAUUGGAUAAGGGUGGAA
Macaca mulatta (Rhesus monkey) is the source of this 1261-nucleotide non-coding RNA. The record is from RefSeq and is a predicted model, not a curated record. NCBI's taxonomy places the organism in Eukaryota, Metazoa, Chordata, Mammalia, Primates, Cercopithecidae.